AGCUUGCUACCGGACCUAGCGGCGGACGGGUGAGUAAUGCUUAGGAAUCUGCCUAUUAGUGGGGGACAACAUCUCGAAAGGGAUGCUAAUACCGCAUACGUCCUACGGGAGAAAGCAGGGGAUCUUCGGACCUUGCGCUAAUAGAUGAGCCUAAGUCGGAUUAGCUAGUUGGUGGGGUAAAGGCCUACCAAGGCGACGAUCUGUAGCGGGUCUGAGAGGAUGAUCCGCCACACUGGGACUGAGACACGGCCCAGACUCCUACGGGAGGCAGCAGUGG
Molecule: ribosomal RNA, 277 nt
Filed under: Acinetobacter baumannii OIFC083
Lineage: Bacteria; Pseudomonadati; Pseudomonadota; Gammaproteobacteria; Moraxellales; Moraxellaceae
Description: partial 16S ribosomal RNA
Rfam family: Bacterial small subunit ribosomal RNA
Source: RNAcentral